AAUUAAAAUCACGCUUUACCUAAAUAACGGAAAUGAUGAGAAGGGGAAAGAGGAGUUGCGGUGGUGCCGACUGUUACGGUGGUGCUGACGGUUGAGAGCAGUUAUUAAGCGGUGGCAGUAGAUGGUCAUUGGUCAAGCAGUGGAAAUCGGAGGACCUUUAAGUUGGUUUUUCUGAUUGAAGGUUGAUUACACGUAAUUUUGCACAUCUUUUGAUUGGCGUCAUACGGUGGUUGUUAUGGUGGUCGCAGUCGUAAUUUCGAAGGCGAACAUCUUCUUAUCCCCUUGCUGGUCACAUGUAAUUUAGGGCAUCUUCAAUUGGCGUCAGACGGUGGUUGUUGUGGUGGCUACGGUUUCGGAAAUCGGAGGCGCAAAUUUGAAGUCGAAUAUCUUCGUAUUCCCUGUGCGGAGUGCCCCACCUAGUGUUUUGGGCUAGAAGGAGGCCUCCUUCGCCGCCAUCCGGCCGGUUCGUGACACAUGCACGAACCUGGUGGCUGGAAUGGUAUGGAAGUCAUUAUUAGAAAACUGAAAACUGUAAGUUCAUACAAUUUCGGCAAGAUAACCGGAAUUUUAAUGGAGAAUUCCAAGGUAACCCGGAUUUUGAUGACUUGCAUAAGUUUUGGACAGUACCUCACACCAUUUGGUAACUUGAUGAUUCUUAUAACAGUCUUACUGCCUUACUGGCAUUAUAUUGUCGGAGUCGUAUUUAUUCUUUAUUUUUCAAGCUAUUGCUAUUAAUCUUUGUUAGUUUAAUUAGCAAUUCAAGUAACCAUUUUAGUCAUAGGUUUGAAUUCUUCAUUUAUUUGUUUGUUUUAUAUCUUUUCUAUAUGAUCUCCUACUCAUCCUUCUGAAUGUCUUGGUUGAAAAAGAAUAACAGGAAUUCAGGCUAUAUUUCUGAUGUUGUCUGUGGCCAAAUUGAAUGCAGAAUGCAGUUGUUGGAAUGAAAUGAUAGUAGCUAGAUUGUUUGAAUUGGUGUGGGGUUGGAGGCUGGUUGAGAUUUCUGGUCGGGUUCGGGUUGGUUUUCGAGUCUGGUCGAUUUUUGACAGGUCUAACUGUCACUUAUAAGUUAUAACAGACUGUAUGUUGUUGAAAUUUCGGACUCCAAGAGGUAGUAAUGAAUUUUCUGAAUAUUGUGACUAUUGCAAAAUGUACUUGAUUUAAGCAUUGGUUAGAGUAUUGUAUUGGAAGGAUUUAUACUAAUGAAUUUGAAA
Long non-coding RNA from Spinacia oleracea (spinach), 1208 nucleotides. RefSeq lists it as uncharacterized. NCBI's taxonomy places the organism in Eukaryota, Viridiplantae, Streptophyta, Magnoliopsida, Caryophyllales, Amaranthaceae. The transcript has 4 exons. The record is from RefSeq and is a predicted model, not a curated record.